UUAGAUACAGUGCACUCUCACGAGUUCCACUUAUUCAAACCCAUUCCGAGUACCUUACCCGUUGCUUCCGCGAGGCAGUGGCUCCGGUCACCUCUGAAGAUGACACCAGUCAUUGGAGGGGAGUCUUCGCGGGAGGUAUACAGUAAACUCUUGCAUUACCAUGUCAUCUGUCUGAUUAUGUUUAAAACAAACAUUA
RNAcentral lists this unclassified non-coding RNA (196 nucleotides) under soil metagenome. RNAcentral's name for it is "partial internal transcribed spacer 1". The record is from RNAcentral.